RNAcentral lists this ribosomal RNA (434 nucleotides) under uncultured Lachnospiraceae bacterium. RNAcentral's name for it is "bacterial SSU rRNA". It matches the Rfam family "Bacterial small subunit ribosomal RNA", at positions 341 to 792 of the family's 1533-position model. Lineage: Bacteria; Bacillati; Bacillota; Clostridia; Lachnospirales; Lachnospiraceae. The record is from RNAcentral.
ACGGAAGGCAGCAGUGGGGAAUAUUGGACAAUGGGGGAAACCCUGAUCCAGCGACGCCGCGUGAGUGAAGAAGUAUUUCGGUAUGUAAAGCUCUAUCAGCAGGAAAGAAAAUGACGGUACCUGACUAAGAAGCCCCGGCUAACUACGUGCCAGCAGCCGCGGUAAUACGUAGGGGGCAAGCGUUAUCCGGAUUUACUGGGUGUAAAGGGAGCGUAGACGGUUUUGCAAGUCUGAAGUGAAAGCCCGGGGCUCAACCCCGGAAUUGCUUUGGAAACUGUAGGACUAGAGUGCAGGAGAGGUAAGUGGAAUUCCUAGUGUAGCGGUGAAAUGCGUAGAUAUUAGGAGGAACACCAGUGGCGAAGGCGGCUUACUGGACUGUAACUGACGUUGAGGCUCGAAAGCGUGGGGAGCAAACAGGAUUAGAUACCCUGGUA